AUGAAACAAUCAUAUACUUUAGAUUUCAGCUGUAUGAUGAUCAUUCAUCACAUAACAUGUUAUUGUCUCAUAGAGCCUGAAGUUGCAAUUAAAAAGGCACCUGAACCAAAACCGAAACCCACAGAGAAAGUUGAGGUUCCAAAGGAAAAGGAAAAACCAGUUUCUGAAAAGAAAGCAGAACCUGAAAUAACCAAAGAAAAACCCAAACCUGUGCCAAAGAAGGAGGCUGAAGUCAUCAAAGAGAAAGUUAAACCAGCUCCUGAGAAGAAAGGUUUGAUUUGCUGUAUUAAGAAUUAA
This 297-nucleotide long non-coding RNA is filed under the name Sinocyclocheilus anshuiensis. RNAcentral describes it as "lncRNA (ENSSANG00000012249.1)". The record is from RNAcentral. Lineage: Eukaryota; Metazoa; Chordata; Actinopteri; Cypriniformes; Cyprinidae.